This 373-nucleotide ribosomal RNA is filed under the name uncultured organism. Its description in RNAcentral is "bacterial SSU rRNA". It matches the Rfam family "Bacterial small subunit ribosomal RNA", at positions 526 to 896 of the family's 1533-position model. The record is from RNAcentral.
CGUAGGAGACGAGCGUUAUCCGGAUUUACUGGGCGUAAAGCGUGUGCAGGCGGUUCGGCAAGUUGGAUGUGAAAUCUCCCGGCUCAACUGGGAGGGGUCGUUCAAUACUACCGAACUUGAGGUCAUCAGAGGAAGGUGGAAUUCCGGGUGUAGUGGUGAAAUGCGUAGAUAUCCGGAGGAACACCAGUGGCGAAGGCGGCCUUCUGGGAUGAUCCUGACGCUCAGACACGAAAGCUAGGGGGAGCGAACGGGAUUAGAGACCCCGGUAGUCCUAGCUGUAAACGAUGUAGACUUGGCGUCGGAGGGUUCAAAACCUUCGGUGUCGUAGCUAACGCGAUAAGUCUACCGCCUGGGGACUACGGCCGCAAGGUUA